CCUACGGGAGGCAGCAGUAGGGAAUCUUCCACAAUGGGCGAAAGCCUGAUGGAGCAACGCCGCGUGGGUGAAGAAGGUCUUCGGAUCGUAAAACCCUGUUGGUAGAGAAGAAAGUGCGGGAGAGUAACUGUUCACGUGUCGACGGUAUCGAACCAGAAAGCCACGGCUAACUACGUGCCAGCAGCCGCGGUAAUACGUAGGUGGCAAGCGUUAUCCGGAUUUAUUGGGCGAAAAGGGAACGCAGGCGGUCUUUUAAGUCUGAGGUGAAAGCCUUCGGCUUAACCGGAGUAGUGCAUUGGAAACUGUGAGACUUGAGUGCAGAAGCGGAGAGUGGAACUCCCUGUGUAGCGGUGAACUGCGUAGAUAUAUGGAAGCACCCCAGUGGCGAACGCGGCUCUCUGGUCUGUAACUGACGCUGAGGUUCGACAGCGUGGGUAGCAAACAGGAUUAGAUACCCGAGUAGUC
This 465-nucleotide ribosomal RNA is filed under the name uncultured bacterium. RNAcentral describes it as "partial 16S ribosomal RNA". It matches the Rfam family "Bacterial small subunit ribosomal RNA", at positions 338 to 795 of the family's 1533-position model. The record is from RNAcentral.